This is a long non-coding RNA of Carassius gibelio (silver crucian carp), 1924 nucleotides long. RefSeq lists it as uncharacterized. The transcript is spliced from 2 exons. Lineage: Eukaryota; Metazoa; Chordata; Actinopteri; Cypriniformes; Cyprinidae. The record is from RefSeq and is a predicted model, not a curated record.
ACACACACACACACCCUCACACUGUCAGCUGUUGCCCAGCUGAAUCCUAAAAUUGUUAACAAUGUUUAAUAAUUUGUUAAAAAAAAAAGAAAUUAAGCUUUGGAAUGUAUUCGCUUGUGUAGUUAGAUGAUAAUAAUAAUCGAGUUGACAAAAUCCACUUUUAGCAGAUUAGCAUUUAAAUGUACAUUCUGUCUCUUUGUAGGAAAACAAAACCAAAAAUACUGAAGAUGACUCGUCACUGCACAGAUUUUUGACCAAUCAGAUGCUCUUUAGAAUGGAAAUGUCCCACCUAAUGCCAUAAGCAACCAACUAGUGAAUCAAGUUCAUUGCUGCCACCACUUAAAAAAAAAUAAACAAAAAAUGCACCAUUUUAUAUAUUCUAUCUAAACUUCCUGUUUCGACAGUAAAUUUGUCAACACAUGAACAGAACAUUGAGUUUAUCAAGUGUUAUUAGGGGGUUAUGUAUCUAAUAUGCAACUUCAUACUUUAUUGGCCUGUCAUGAAACGUUUUUUCAAGCAUUAAGCAACAGUGAUUUUUCCCACUGGAACAGCUGAAUGUCCUGUGAUGGGAUUCGCUUUUGAUGAUUCUGGUUGACUCUAGUUAAGAUCAAUUUACCGACCUCCUGAAAAUGUGGCGAGAUAAGCCAACAAGAAGAACAAAUGACAAAUGCUAUUGAUCGCCACAGCAGGAAUUUGGAAAAAUGCAACAACAGAGAAAAGGAAGAAAAACUGGAAAUGCAAUGGCUAAGCUCUGUUUAGAAUCCCACUUUUAAGAAGCAUGCUAGAAGAGAGAUUAACUCAGGCAAAAAAAAAAAAAAAAGGAAAGAAAAUCUAAUUUAGUGGAAAGCUACGGUCGGACUGUUUGAAAGACAGAGGAGCAGUGGUGUGUUGUUGAUGAUCAUCCCAGCUUGAUUCAGCACUCCAUCUGUGCUCUCGGCCGUGAAAAGCAGCUCUCGCUUGAUACCUUUUAGAUGCUGCUCAGCAGAUAAAAAAAUACCUUUUGUCCCUCUUUGUCUGAAAUCCGGAGGGUCUGGAGAUUUUCCUGGCUUCCCACUGAGUCGCUUAGGAUUUCCUCGGCUAUUUGUCCAUUGUCUGCACACCAAGCAUUAAAUAUUCCUCCUGGAAGUAGUUUUUUUUUUUUUUCAGCUGUAAAGGUUAAAGAGUACAUCGGCAUCUGUCAGCCUCACCUGUGGGUCAGAGAAAUGCUGAAGAUGUUUUUCCAAAGGGGUCUGACCCGGGAAGUUCAAAGACCCUCACGGUGACGUCCCAGUGAACAAAGCUGGAUUGUGGGAAAGCGUGGGCAUUGGCGGCUCGGUCACACACGCUAGUCGAGCUCCCUGUCUGAGCAAGCGUUCCGCCCGAGUCGUUUUUGGACAGGAUUUUUUUUUUUUUCUAAUUUCAUUUGCAUAAUCCUUCACUAAACACCCCCCAAACACACACACACUUUCACUCCGCACACACACACACAUCUAUUGGACCGUGUUCGCUAUAAGGUUGAUGGACACUUCAGAGAAAGCAGAACUACAUUCAACAGUACAAUUCAAGCAGGUGAUUGAAGAUCUGCUUUUAUUCUGCGGCUCUAUUGAACUGCUGCUGUUUCUCAUAGAUGCUGGAACAAAAGCUGUGCAGUGUUUGGUAUCAUGUAACCGCACAGGUAUAGUGGGAAACUAUAGUGGGUGAACUUUGUCUUCUUGUCUUAUAUUAUUCAUUAACAAGACUUAUUAUAUUAUUUUAAUAUUUAAUAUACUACAUUAUAUUAUAGACAACAUAAUAUUUAAAUAGACAAGAUAACUAAGGUAUUUGGAGAAAUAGAGGCUAAAUAUUGGCCACAUUCAACUUUUUUGAUGUAUUCCAAAUUACAUACACUAUCACUGCAUUCAAAGUUGCAUACUUCUCUAUUAUACAGAAUGCAAAAAAAACAGAA